Molecule: long non-coding RNA, 752 nt
Filed under: Chrysemys picta bellii (western painted turtle)
Lineage: Eukaryota; Metazoa; Chordata; Testudines; Emydidae
Description: lncRNA (ENSCPBG00000000259.1)
Source: RNAcentral
AGAGAAAGCAAACAUCAGCGUCAUCUCUGCUGAGAAGAGGAGACCAAUAAAAACAGUAUUAAUUUACAAAAUCACAGCAGAUACAGAGGACUGGGGAAACGAGGGCCUCUUGGAGAUUUUAGAACACCUUGAAAGGUAAACCUAAGCAUCUGCUGAUAGCUCUGCCAUGCUGUAUUCUGAUGUAGGCAAGGUGUUGGGAACCUGUAUUUUUCAUGUUGUAUUUCAGAUUGCAGAACUCAGAGGUUCCUAUGGUGUCCCAGCAAACAAAACAGACCAUGAAACAUGAAGAAAUCACAUAAUUAGUUCAUGUUUGUAUAGGGCUUUGAGCAGGCAAAUUUCCAGGCAGCAUUGGAGGACUUCAUGGCAGAGAAGCUAAGCAUGAACAUCACUCCACACCGAUUGUUGCUCUAGGUGCUGGCAGCUGUGCACCAAUGGUAUGCUGUGAGGAGGAAACAAGGCAUGCAAGCAAAGUCACAGAGAAAGAACCCCGCCCCUCCCCGUUACCCAGAGUUUUCAGAACCUCCAACAGGGGCAACUUAACUAUUUCACUCCAGGGGGUGUAAGGAAUGAAUCAACAGGAACUCAGCAAUUCCGUCUGAUCAAGGAAAAAUGCAAGUAAGCAUGCUUUUGUCUAACACUGCAGUUUAUUAGAUUUAAGCACACACAGACAUAAGCAAUAGAUUUAGAACAUCCCAGAUAUUUACCUAUAUUCUGAGACGGUACUGAGUAAUCAACAACAGGUCAGCAUCAGG